GAUGAACGCUGACAGAAUGCUUAACACAUGCAAGUCUUUGGCGAAGCUGUGCUUGCACAGCCUAGCCAAGGCGGACGGGUGAGUAACGCGUAAGGAACUUGCCCUGCAGUCAGGGAUAACAGACGGAAACGACUGAUAAGACCUGGUAAAGUCAGGCGGACUCAUGUCCAGCCUGAUGAAAAGAGAUGCUGCAGGAGAGCCUUGCGUCCUAUUAGCUUGUUGGUGGGGUAACGGCCCACCAAGGCGAUGAUAGGUAGCCGGCCUGAGAGGGUGGACGGCCACAAGGGGACUGAGAUACGGCCCUUACUCCUACGGGAGGCAGCAGUGGGGAAUAUUGGACAAUGGGGGCAAUCCUGAUCCAGCAAUUCUGUGUGAACGAUGAAGGUUUUCGGAUUGUAAAGUGCUUUCAGCAGGGAAGAAAAAAAUGACGGUACCUGCAGAAGAAGCGACGGCUAAAUACGUG
This 463-nucleotide ribosomal RNA is filed under the name uncultured bacterium. RNAcentral describes it as "partial 16S ribosomal RNA". It matches the Rfam family "Bacterial small subunit ribosomal RNA", at positions 28 to 507 of the family's 1533-position model. The record is from RNAcentral.